AGAAAAUUAGUUAAAAAAUAACAUUAAUUUGUCAAAUUAAAGUUGCCUGCCCGGUGUUUCCUA
Molecule: transfer RNA, 63 nt
Filed under: Pseudoniphargus grandis
Lineage: Eukaryota; Metazoa; Arthropoda; Malacostraca; Amphipoda; Allocrangonyctidae
Description: tRNA-Asp
Source: RNAcentral